This is a long non-coding RNA of Cervus elaphus (red deer), 377 nucleotides long. RefSeq lists it as uncharacterized. NCBI's taxonomy places the organism in Eukaryota, Metazoa, Chordata, Mammalia, Artiodactyla, Cervidae. The transcript has 4 exons. The record is from RefSeq and is a predicted model, not a curated record.
AGUUCAAACACAGGCGGCUCCCCUGCAGCUGCCUGCCGGAAAUGAGUGUGUGUCGCUGUGGCUCGCAGCAGUGUGUUGGCUGAAACGGCCACGUUUGAUUUGCCACUGGGAUGAUGGAUGGCAUGUUAAGACCAGCUUCUCGGAGCCUUAUAGUUACCACAGUGAUCAGUCUUGAUGAGUGAACCUAAGUCCUCUUCUUCUUCUGAUCAUGACCGUGGAAGCGGCCACAAAGUAUGGUAGAAGCACACAGGGUUUGGAGUCAGACAAGCUCUGCCUCUCCCCAGCUGUGAGACUUCAGUUUGUUCUUCUAAGCAUGCUGCAUGUGUACUAAAGACACAUAUUGUACAAUAUAAACACAACAGUGCAUCUGAUUUUUC